UACGGGGGGGGCAAGCGUUGUUCGGAAUUACUGGGCGUAAAGGGCUCGUAGGCGGCCAACUAAGUCCGACGUGAAAUCCCAAGGCUUAACCUUGGAACUGCGUCGGAUACUGGAUGGCUUGAAUUCGGGAGAGGGAUGCAGAAUUCCAGGUGUAGCGGUGAAAUGCGUAGAUAUCUGGAGGAACACCGGUGGCGAAGGCGAGUUCCUGGACAAGACCUGACGCUGAGGCACGAAAGCCAGGGGAGCAAACAGG
This 253-nucleotide ribosomal RNA is filed under the name uncultured bacterium. Its description in RNAcentral is "partial 16S ribosomal RNA". It matches the Rfam family "Bacterial small subunit ribosomal RNA", at positions 524 to 776 of the family's 1533-position model. The record is from RNAcentral.